CAGUCGAACGAGUUCUCGUUGAUGAUCGGUGCUUGCACCGAGAUUCAACCUGGAACGAGUGGCGGACGGGUGAGUAACACGUGGGUAACCUGCCCUUAAGUGGGGGAUAACAUUUGGAAACAGAUGCUAAUACCGCAUAGAUCCAAGAACCGCAUGGUUCUUGGCUGAAAGAUGGCGUAAGCUAUCGCUUUUGGAUGGACCCGCGGCGUAUUAGCUAGUUGGUGAGGUAAUGGCUCACCAAGGCGAUGAUACGUAGCCGAACUGAGAGGUUGAUCGGCCACAUUGGGACUGAGACACGGCCCAAACUCCUACGGGAGGCAGCAGUAGGGAAUCUUCCACAAUGGACGCAAGUCUGAUGGAGCAACGCCGCGUGAGUGAAGAAGGCUUUCGGGUCGUAAAACUCUGUUGUUGGAGAAGAAUGGUCGGCAGAGUAACUGUUGUCGGCGUGACGGUAUCCAACCAGAAAGCCACGGCUAACUACGUGCCAGCAGCCGCGGUAAUACGUAGGUGGCAAGCGUUAUCCGGAUUUAUUGGGCGUAAAGCGAGCGCAGGCGGUUUUUUAAGUCUGAUGUGAAAGCCCUCGGCUUAACCGAGGAAGCGCAUCGGAAACUGGGAAACUUGAGUGCAGAAGAGGACAGUGGAACUCCAUGUGUAGCGGUGAAAUGCGUAGAUAUAUGGAAGAACACCAGUGGCGAAGGCGGCUGUCUGGUCUGUAACUGACGCUGAGGCUCGAAAGCAUGGGUAGCGAACAGGAUUAGAUACCCUGGUAGUCCAUGCCGUAAACGAUGAAUGCUAGGUGUUGGAGGGUUUC
RNAcentral lists this ribosomal RNA (811 nucleotides) under uncultured bacterium. RNAcentral's name for it is "bacterial SSU rRNA". It matches the Rfam family "Bacterial small subunit ribosomal RNA", at positions 59 to 834 of the family's 1533-position model. The record is from RNAcentral.